CCUACGGGUGGCAGCAGUGAGGAAUAUUGGUCAAUGGACGAGAGUCUGAACCAGCCAAGUAGCGUGAAGGAUGACUGCCUAUGGGUUGUAAACUUCUUUUAUUUGGGAAUAAAACUGGGUAUGCAUACCGUCUUUUAUUUACCAUAUGAAUAAUGAUCGGCUAACUCCGUGCCAGCAGCCGCGGUAAUACGGAGGCUCCGAGCGUUAUCCGGGUUUAUUGGGUGUAAAGGGAGCGUAGAUGGGUUGUUAAGUCAGUUGUGAAAGUUUGCGGCUCAACCGUAAAAUUGCAAUUGAUACUGGCAGUCUUGAGUACAGUUGAGGUAGGCGGAAUUCGUGGUGUAGCGGUGAAAUGCUUAGAUAUCACGAAGAACUCCGAUUGCGAAGGCAGCUUACUAAACUGCCACUGACACUGAUGCUCGAAAGUGUGGGUAUCAAACAGGAUUAGAUACCCUAGUAGUC
RNAcentral lists this ribosomal RNA (459 nucleotides) under uncultured bacterium. RNAcentral describes it as "partial 16S ribosomal RNA". It matches the Rfam family "Bacterial small subunit ribosomal RNA", at positions 338 to 795 of the family's 1533-position model. The record is from RNAcentral.